CCUUGUCGAGUAAGUUCCGACCCGCACGAAAGGCGCAACGAUCUGGGCACUGUCUCAACGAGAGACUCGGUGAAAUUAUAGUACCUGUGAAGAUGCAGGUUACCCGCGACAGGACGGAAAGACCCCGUGGAGCUUUACUGCAGCCUGAUAUUGAAUGUUGGUACAGCUUGUACAGGAUAGGUAGGAGCCUUGGAAACCGGAGCGCCAGCUUCGGUGGAGGCAUCGGUGGGAUACUACCCUGGCUGUAUUGACCUUCUAACCCGCUGCCCUUAUCGGGCAGGGAGACAGUGUCAGGUGGGCAGUUUGACUGGGGCGGU
RNAcentral lists this ribosomal RNA (317 nucleotides) under Bacillus licheniformis. RNAcentral describes it as "bacterial LSU rRNA". It matches the Rfam family "Bacterial large subunit ribosomal RNA", at positions 1967 to 2283 of the family's 2925-position model. The record is from RNAcentral. Lineage: Bacteria; Bacillati; Bacillota; Bacilli; Caryophanales; Bacillaceae.